Long non-coding RNA from Scatophagus argus, 610 nucleotides. RefSeq lists it as uncharacterized. The record is from RefSeq and is a predicted model, not a curated record. Lineage: Eukaryota; Metazoa; Chordata; Actinopteri; Scatophagidae. The transcript is spliced from 4 exons.
CUUCCCUAAGUGACACAUUAUCCUUUGAUAGCAACCCACGGGACAAUUUUUAAUGUUUUGGAUUAUUAAAUAAGUAAUGUCAGCAGGCUGACACUAUUCAAGUUAUGACUGCGAUACUCAAUAUUUUUAUAUUCCCAAUCUUGAUGAUGGUGAUAGCUGUAGUACUCCUCUGCUUCUACCUGCACAUCAGAAAGAAAAGAGCAGUGAGUGACGUCACCAUACCAACAACCCAAGAUGGCAACACAUCUUCAGUACAUACAAUUUCUUUGCCUGAAGAUCAGGCAGGAGAAGACAGACAUUACGACAGAUUCCCUCCACGGUACAGCACUGUGGAUCUUCCACCACCAUAUUCACUGUUUGACCCCAAGCUGACACACGCAUGGCCGGGGGGCCCGCCACCUGCCUACGAGAUGUAUCCAAUAACAUUGCCUCUGGCACCUCAUCACUGGAUGACGCCCUCAGAACCUCCAACCCCACCUUCCUCACUCAGCACCCAUAACAACCCAUGGCCACAGAGGUUACGCCAACCACCCGCCAUCUAAAACGCUGAAGACUCACCUUGUGUUGUUUUUGUGUCAUUUGAAAAAUAGUAUUGUCAUUUAUUUUAUUC